UACGAAGGGUGCGAGCGUUGUUCGGAAUUAUUGGGCGUAAAGCGCACGUAGGCGGCCUUGUAAGUCUCACUGUGAAAGCCCGGGGCUCAACCCCGGGAGGCCAGGGGAUACUGCGAGGCUGGAGACAAGCAGAGGUUGGUAGAAUUCCGGGUGUAGCGGUGGAAUGCGUAGAGAUCCGGAGGAAUACCAGAGGCGAAGGCGGCCAACUGGGCUUGUUCUGACGCUGAGGUGCGAAAGCGUGGGGAGCGAACAGG
RNAcentral lists this ribosomal RNA (254 nucleotides) under uncultured bacterium. Its description in RNAcentral is "partial 16S ribosomal RNA". It matches the Rfam family "Bacterial small subunit ribosomal RNA", at positions 524 to 776 of the family's 1533-position model. The record is from RNAcentral.